Molecule: ribosomal RNA, 517 nt
Filed under: uncultured bacterium
Lineage: Bacteria
Description: bacterial SSU rRNA
Rfam family: Bacterial small subunit ribosomal RNA
Source: RNAcentral
GGUUCAGGACGAACGCUGGCGGCGUGCCUAGUACAUGCAAGUCGAGCGGAAAUUUUAUUGGUGCUUGCACCUUAAAUUUAGCGGCGGACGGGUGAGUAACACGUGGGUAACCUACCUUAUAGAUUGGGAUAACUCCGGGAAACCGGGGCUAAUACCGAAUAAUACUUUUUAACACAUGUUUGAAAGUUGAAAGACGGUUUCGGCUGUCACUAUAAGAUGGACCCGCGGCGCAUUAGCUAGUUGGUGAGGUAACGGCUCACCAAGGCAACGAUGCGUAGCCGACCUGAGAGGGUGAUCGGCCACACUGGGACUGAGACACGGCCCAGACUCCUACGGGAGGCAGCAGUAGGGAAUCUUCCACAAUGGACGAAAGUCUGAUGGAGCAACGCCGCGUGAGUGAAGAAGGAUUUCGGUUCGUAAAACUCUGUUGCAAGGGAAGAACAAGUAGCGUAGUAACUGGCGCUACCUUGACGGUACCUUGUUAGAAAGCCACGGCUAACUACGUGCCAGCCGCUGC